UCCUCCCUCUUUCCUCGUGCUUAACACAUGCAAGUCGAACGGAAAGGCCCUGCUUUUGUGGGGUGCUCGAGUGGCGAACGGGUGAGUAACACGUGAGUAACCUGCCCUUGACUUUGGGAUAACUUCAGGAAACUGGGGCUAAUACCGGAUAGGAGCUCCUGCUGCAUGGUGGGGGUUGGAAAGUUUCGGCGGUUGGGGAUGGACUCGCGGCUUAUCAGCUUGUUGGUGGGGUAGUGGCUUACCAAGGCUUUGACGGGUAGCCGGCCUGAGAGGGUGACCGGCCACAUUGGGACUGAGAUACGGCCCAGACUACUACGGGAGGCAGCAGUGGGGAAUAUUGCACAAUGGGCGGAAGCCUGAUGCAGCAACGCCGCGUGCGGGAUGACGGCCUUCGGGUUGUAAACCGCUUUCGCCUGUGACGAAGCGUGAGUGACGGUAAUGGGUAAAGAAGCACCGGCUAACUACGUG
RNAcentral lists this ribosomal RNA (468 nucleotides) under uncultured bacterium. Its description in RNAcentral is "partial 16S ribosomal RNA". It matches the Rfam family "Bacterial small subunit ribosomal RNA", at positions 36 to 507 of the family's 1533-position model. The record is from RNAcentral.